AUUGGAGUAGCAAAGAAGGUAUAAAUGCAAAAGAUCUAAACCCUUUAACCAGGGGUUCAAUUCCCCUCCCCAAUA
RNAcentral lists this transfer RNA (75 nucleotides) under Emydura subglobosa. RNAcentral describes it as "tRNA-Leu". It matches the Rfam family "tRNA". Rfam says of the family: Transfer RNA (tRNA) molecules are approximately 80 nucleotides in length. The record is from RNAcentral. Lineage: Eukaryota; Metazoa; Chordata; Testudines; Chelidae. RNAcentral also lists the same sequence under 1 other name.